GGAGAGAUACCCAAGUGGUCGAAGGGGACGGUUUGCUAAACCGUUAGGGGGUCGAAUGACCCCGCGCGGGUUCGAAUCCCGCUCUCUCCGCCA
Molecule: transfer RNA, 93 nt
Filed under: Polycladomyces subterraneus
Lineage: Bacteria; Bacillati; Bacillota; Bacilli; Caryophanales; Thermoactinomycetaceae
Description: tRNA-Ser
Rfam family: tRNA
About the family: Transfer RNA (tRNA) molecules are approximately 80 nucleotides in length. Their secondary structure includes four short double-helical elements and three loops (D, anti-codon, and T loops).
Source: RNAcentral